GUGAGGAAUAUUGGUCAAUGGGCGAGAGCCUGAACCAGCCAAAUCGCGUGAAGGAUGAAGGUAUUAUGUAUUGUAAACUUCUUUUAUCGGGGAAUAAAGUGCGGGACGUGUCCCGUUUUGUAUGUACCCGAAGAAUAAGGAUCGGCUAACUCCGUGCCAGCAGCCGCGGUAAUACGGAGGAUCCAAGCGUUAUCCGGAUUUAUUGGGUUUAAAGGGUGCGUAGGCGGACUGUCAAGUCAGCGGUGAAAGUCCAUGGCUCAACCAUGGAAUUGCCGUUGAAACUGUCGGUCUUGAGUGUAGAUGAGGUAGGCGGAAUUCGUAGUGUAGCGGUGAAAUGCUUAGAUAUUACGAAGAACUCCAAUUGCGUAGGCAGCUUACCAGGCUACAACUGACGCUGAGGCACGAAGGUGCGGGGAUCAAACAGGAUUAGAAACCCCGGUAGUCC
RNAcentral lists this ribosomal RNA (445 nucleotides) under uncultured bacterium. Its description in RNAcentral is "partial 16S ribosomal RNA". It matches the Rfam family "Bacterial small subunit ribosomal RNA", at positions 354 to 796 of the family's 1533-position model. The record is from RNAcentral.